This is a long non-coding RNA of Ruditapes philippinarum (Manila clam), 907 nucleotides long. RefSeq lists it as uncharacterized. The transcript is spliced from 2 exons. NCBI's taxonomy places the organism in Eukaryota, Metazoa, Mollusca, Bivalvia, Venerida, Veneridae. The record is from RefSeq and is a predicted model, not a curated record.
AAAAACAGUCAAUUGAAAAGCGUGAGAACGAACAGAAUGUUGCAUUCUUUGCAUAUUUAAACAACCACGUGGAGAAUCCUGGGGUUCAUCAGGUUAUUACUUUUGAUCACGUGACAACGAAUAUUGGAAACGGAUACAACGUAUUUGCAGGCGAUUUUAGGGCACCUGUCGCUGGAACAUACGUCUUCGCUACAACGCUAAUGGCUGAUACAAGUAGAGUACCUUACCAUUUCCAGAUAAUGCACAAUGCGAAGACAGUUUCGAGUAUUUAUGUUGAAAAUGGCGGAACUGGAAGCCAAGAAGUAGUGCUUCAACUGAAUCAAGGGGACGAUGUUUCGAUCCACAAUAUUGACGCUGGACAGAAGGUAUACGGACAUGGUUACAGUACCUUCUCUGGGUUUCUCUUGCAACAAAACUACUCAAGUGCUAGCAUCGUUGGCAAAUAACCUCCAUCCACCAGGACGACUGGUAAUGGACAAGGAUGUCUCUAUCUCUUUAUUUCUUAAAAGGACUCCACUGAGGCUUUUGACAUGACGGGACUGGAAACAUUCUUACCUAGACUCGUGUACCAUUAAUGUAGGUCUGGGCCAAUACAAUGUAUCUAUCCAUGUGCAAAUUUUAAGAUCUUUCCGAAUAAUUGAUUAUUCGUGCAAAAGGCCAAAAACAAUGAAAAGCUUUGCAACGAUUUUCACUCAAAUUGACUUACAAAUCGUAUCACAAGUCGAUAUUCAAUUUAAUUCAAUUUAAUUCUUUAUCAUUCUUUGCAGAUUUUUCUUUUCAAUUUCAAAUGAUUUAUAUAAGAAUUUCAUUUUUUGUUGCAAGUUUUUGUGUUGUUUUUUUUACCUCAGUGGAAGUCCUUGAGUAAAUAUCAUUAUUUGUGAUGUAUGUAUUAAAUGAAAUACAGUUU